AGAGUUUGAUCCUGGCUCAGGACGAACGCUGGCGGCGUGCCUAACACAUGCAAGUCGAACGGGCGGUAGCAAUACCGUCAGUGGCGGACGGGUGAGUAACGCGUGAGCAACCUACCCAUAACCGCGGGAUAACACUUAGAAAUAGGUGCUAAUACCGCAUGAGACCACGCUCCGGCAUCGGAGAGGGGUUAAAAUUCAGGUGGUUAUGGAUGGGCUCGCGUCCCAUUAGCUAGAUGGCGGGGUAACGGCCCACCAUGGCGACGAUGGGUAGCCGACCUGAGAGGGUGAUCGGCCACAUUGGAACUGAGAAACGGUCCAGACUCCUACGGGAGGCAGCAGUGGGGAAUAUUGGGCAAUGGACGAAAGUCUGACCCAGCAACGCCGCGUGAGGGAAGAAGGUCUUAAUUGAUUGUAAACCUUUGUUGUAGAUGAAAAAGAAUGAUAGUAAUCUACGAGGAAGCCCCGGCAAACUAUGUGCCAGCAGCCGCGGUAAUACAUAGGGGGCGAGCGUUGUCCGGAAUGACUGGGCGUAAAGGGAGCGUAGGCGGUAUGGUAAGUUAUAUGUGAAAGCCCGCGGCUUAACUGCGGAACUGCAUAUAAGACUGCCAAACUUGAGUGUGGGAGGGGAAAGCGGAAUUACUAGUGUAGCGGUGGAAUGCGUAGAUAUUAGUAGGAACACCGGUGGCGAAGGCGGCUUUCUGGACCAUAACUGACGCUGAGGCUCGAAAGCGUGGGGAGCAAACAGGAUUAGAUACCCUGGUAGUCCACGCUGUAAACGAUGAAUACUAGACGCGAGGGGUAUUGACUCCUUUCGUGUCGCAGCUAACGCACUAAGUAUUCCGCCUGGGGAGUACGGCCGCAAGGUUGAAACUCAAAGGAAUUGACGGGGACCCGCACAAGCAGCGGAGCAUGUGGUUUAAUUCGACGCAACGCGAAGAACCUUACCAAGGCUUGACAUCCUUUGACCGCCAUGGAAACAUGGAAUCCCUUCGGGGCAGAGAGACAGGUGGUGCAUGGUUGUCGUCAGCUCGUGUCGUGAGAUGUUCGGUUAAGUCCGGCAACGAGCGCAACCCUUAUGAUAUGUUGCCAAUAUUAAGUUAGGAACUCAUAUCAGACUGCCGUGGAAAACACGGAGGAAGGUGGGGAUGACGUCAAAUCAUCAUGCCCCUUACGCCUUGGGCUACACACGUGCUACAAUGGCCGUUACAAAGAGCAGCGACCCCGCAAGGGCAAGCGAAUCUCACAAAGACGGCCUCAGUUCAGAUUGUGGGCUGCAGCCCGCCCACAUGAAGUAGGAGUUGCUAGUAAUCGCGAAUCAGCAUGUCGCGGUGAAUGCGUUCCCGGGUCUUGUACACACCGCCCGUCACGCCAUGGGAGUCGGGAGUACCCAAAGUCGGUGCGCUAACCGUAAGGAGGCAGCCGCCUAAGGUAAGAUCGAUGACUGGGGUGAAGUCGUAACAAGGUAACCGUA
RNAcentral lists this ribosomal RNA (1471 nucleotides) under uncultured bacterium. Its description in RNAcentral is "bacterial SSU rRNA". It matches the Rfam family "Bacterial small subunit ribosomal RNA". The record is from RNAcentral.